AAGCAUGCCAUGUAUCUGAUUACUCCGUCAAGGUUGGGACCGGAAAAUGACCUAUUGCACCGUGUCAAUUGUCCUUUGCAGAAGCCCUUACUGUUAAUCAAGAGAGGGAGAUUAGAGGAGAUCAGAACUACCAGCCAGAAGAGCGUUUUGCAUUUGACUACACCUUUCCACCAGCGUGUGUAUUUUCUCCCAGAAAAAAACACCACCCGGGAGCAGGUUCUGCAGGGAGAAAUUCUCCAGGCUGAACUGUUAUUCUCUAGUCCCCACGCUCCGCCAUGUCAGAAAGCAGGACUUGAUGGUCUGUCUGGGUUUCCAUGUUACAGAGGUGAGACAGAGGGUCAGUAAAACAAACAGAUGAAAAGAAACAGGCUGGAAAGUUGGAGAGUAGUUACAUGCUACAGGCAGGUUCAAGUUGCCUGAGAGGAGGAUGAGUUUUAUAGCUUAGGAGGCUAUCCUGUAUGCAUUCCAGCAAUGGAAUAGCAUUGCAGUUUAUGGCCACGUGGUACAAAAAUCUGUAGCCUUUGGUAUGUCGUUUAAUCUGGUUGCUUGUCUAUAAAC
This 558-nucleotide long non-coding RNA is filed under the name Numida meleagris (helmeted guineafowl). RNAcentral's name for it is "lncRNA (ENSNMEG00000005894.1)". Lineage: Eukaryota; Metazoa; Chordata; Aves; Galliformes; Numididae. The record is from RNAcentral.